This 434-nucleotide ribosomal RNA is filed under the name uncultured Lachnospiraceae bacterium. RNAcentral's name for it is "partial 16S ribosomal RNA". It matches the Rfam family "Bacterial small subunit ribosomal RNA", at positions 341 to 792 of the family's 1533-position model. The record is from RNAcentral. Lineage: Bacteria; Bacillati; Bacillota; Clostridia; Lachnospirales; Lachnospiraceae.
ACGGGAGGCAGCAGUGGGGAAUAUUGGACAAUGGAGGAAACUCUGGUCCAGCGACGCCGCGUGAGUGAAGAAGUAUUUCGGUAUGUAAAGCUCUAUCAGCAGGGAAGAUAAUGACGGUACCUGACUAAGAAGCCCCGGCUAACUACGUGCCAGCAGCCGCGGUAAUACGUAGGGGGCAAGCGUUAUCCGGAUUUACUGGGUGUAAAGGGAGCGUAGACGGUAUGGCAAGUCUGAUGUGAAAACCCGGGGCUCAACCCCGGGACUGCAUUGGAAACUGUCAAACUAGAGUGCAGGAGAGGUAAGUGGAAUUCCUAGUGUAGCGGUGAAAUGCGUAGAUAUUAGGAGGAACACCAGUGGCGAAGGCGGCUUACUGGACUGUAACUGACGUUGAGGCUCGAAAGCGUGGGGAGCAAACAGGAUUAGAUACCCUGGUA